Molecule: ribosomal RNA, 254 nt
Filed under: uncultured bacterium
Lineage: Bacteria
Description: partial 16S ribosomal RNA
Rfam family: Bacterial small subunit ribosomal RNA
Source: RNAcentral
UACAGAGGAGCCAAGCGUUGUCCGGAAUUAUUGGGCGUAAAGAGCUCGUAGGCGGUGUGUCGCGUCGGCCGUGAAAACCUGCAGCUUAACUGUGGGCUUGCGGUCGAUACGGGCAUCACUGGAGUUCGGCAGGGGAGACUGGAAUUCCUGGUGUAGCGGUGAAAUGCGCAGAUAUCAGGAGGAACACCGGUGGCGAAGGCGGUUCUCUGGGCAUGUCCUGACGCUGAGGAGCGAAAGUGUGGGGAGCGAACAGG